RNAcentral lists this microRNA (21 nucleotides) under Prunus persica (peach). Its description in RNAcentral is "ppe-miR8122-3p". Lineage: Eukaryota; Viridiplantae; Streptophyta; Magnoliopsida; Rosales; Rosaceae. The record is from miRBase by way of RNAcentral.
UGAAGGAAGAUUUGUGGAAAG